This 618-nucleotide ribosomal RNA is filed under the name Peribacillus frigoritolerans. Its description in RNAcentral is "bacterial SSU rRNA". It matches the Rfam family "Bacterial small subunit ribosomal RNA", at positions 41 to 643 of the family's 1533-position model. Lineage: Bacteria; Bacillati; Bacillota; Bacilli; Caryophanales; Bacillaceae. The record is from RNAcentral.
GGCGUGCCUAUACAUGCAAGUCGAGCGAAUCGAUGGGAGCUUGCUCCCUGAGAUUAGCGGCGGACGGGUGAGUAACACGUGGGCAACCUGCCUAUAAGACUGGGAUAACUUCGGGAAACCGGAGCUAAUACCGGAUACGUUCUUUUCUCGCAUGAGAGAAGAUGGAAAGACGGUUUACGCUGUCACUUAUAGAUGGGCCCGCGGCGCAUUAGCUAGUUGGUGAGGUAAUGGCUCACCAAGGCGACGAUGCGUAGCCGACCUGAGAGGGUGAUCGGCCACACUGGGACUGAGACACGGCCCAGACUCCUACGGGAGGCAGCAGUAGGGAAUCUUCCGCAAUGGACGAAAGUCUGACGGAGCAACGCCGCGUGAACGAAGAAGGCCUUCGGGUCGUAAAGUUCUGUUGUUAGGGAAGAACAAGUACCAGAGUAACUGCUGGUACCUUGACGGUACCUAACCAGAAAGCCACGGCUAACUACGUGCCAGCAGCCGCGGUAAUACGUAGGUGGCAAGCGUUGUCCGGAAUUAUUGGGCGUAAAGCGCGCGCAGGUGGUUCCUUAAGUCUGAUGUGAAAGCCCACGGCUCAACCGUGGAGGGUCAUUGGAAACUGGGGAACUU